CCUACGGUGUGCAGCAGUCGAGAAUCAUUCACAAUGGGGGAAACCCUGAUGGUGCGACGCCGCGUGGGGGAAUGAAGGUCUUCGGAUUGUAAACCCCUGUCAUGUGGGAGCAAAUUAAAAAGAUAGUACCACAAGAGGAAGAGACGGCUAACUCUGUGCCAGCAGUCGUGGUAAUACAGAGGGCUCAAGCGUUGUUCGGAAUCACUGGGCGUAAAGUGUGCGUAGGCUGUUUCGUAAGUCGUGUGUGAAAGGCGCGGGCUCAACCCGCGAACGGCACAUGAUACUGCGAGACUAGAGUAAUGGAGAGGAAAGCGGAAUUCUCGGUGUAGCAGUGAAAUGCGUAGAUAUCGGGAGGAACACUCGUGGCGAAGGCGGGUUCCUGGACAUUAACUGACGCUGAGGCACGAAGGCCAGGGGAGCGAAAGGGAUUAGAUACCCCUGUAGUC
This 446-nucleotide ribosomal RNA is filed under the name uncultured bacterium. Its description in RNAcentral is "partial 16S ribosomal RNA". It matches the Rfam family "Bacterial small subunit ribosomal RNA", at positions 338 to 795 of the family's 1533-position model. The record is from RNAcentral.